GGAUCAUUAUUUAAAUUAAGAAACGAGAGAGGAAGUAGCACACCCAGUUUAAAGGAGGUACCUGCUCUUCAAAAUGUACCCUACCCGGAACAGAUUGGCGUGAAAAGUUCCGCGGACGGUGAGGUAGCUUCGUGGGUCAAGAGUAGUACUUCACACGCUGCAAUUGCCUAAGUCGAGAAAUACUUUUUUAAUCGGAGGUCAGGUCGGAGCUGCUCUCCGCGAAGUGACCCUUAUCGGGGAAUACCCCAUCACCGCAUUCCUCGCCUAAGUGCAAAAGAGGCCGACUGCUGGAGGUGAGCUCCUAGGAACAUUGCGAGGUGUAGCACCCCCCUGGGGAAUCAAUGGCUCCUCUCUCUCAACUUUAAAAUUCCCUCUGUGUAUCAUCUCCAUGUUGCUUCCCGUGGGUGCCAUCACGUUGUGGCCCUGCGGGGAGAAUCUCACAAACUCUGGUUGUUAUUGUCGUUAGUCUGAGUGGUCAACACAUCAAAACAAGUUAAAACUUUCAACAACGGAUCUCUUGGUUCUCGCAUCGAUGAAGAACGCAGCGAAAUGCGAUAAGUAGUGUGAAUUGCAGAAUUCAGUGAAUCAUCGAAUCUUUGAACGCACAUUGCGCCUUCUGGUAAUCCGGGAGGCAUGCCUGUCCGAGCGUCAUUAAACAAACUUCUCAAGCAUUCUUGCUUGGUCUUGGGGCUGUGCCAGGUUACUACCCUAUGGUAGGCCUGCCCUCCGAAAUACAUAGGCAGAAGCCCUGGUGGCAUCAGGUGUGAUAACUCUGUGUUCACUUGAUGGCGACAGGGCCUUGCGCCGUUCCAACCAGCCCCCCAGCUGUUCUUUCAAGUUUGACCUCGGAUCAGGUAGGGAUACCCGCUGAACUUAAGCAUAUCAU
RNAcentral lists this ribosomal RNA (886 nucleotides) under Donadinia lusitanica. RNAcentral describes it as "eukaryotic LSU rRNA". The stretch from base 498 to 651 matches the Rfam family "5.8S ribosomal RNA". The record is from RNAcentral. Lineage: Eukaryota; Fungi; Ascomycota; Pezizomycetes; Pezizales; Sarcosomataceae.